UAGUAAGUGUUCAAAAUCCCCUUUUAUUGGUUGUUGGCAUCCAGGUGAACCAAUGGCACAAGAGUAAGAUUUAAUCACCAAAAAAAUAAAACAGAGAGUUCCAGUUUCACAAAGUAAAAAAAAUAAAAAAAGUUGAUUUUUUAUUUUUAUUUAUAUAGUUACAUUUAGUAAAUUACCCAGAAACACUUGAGUCAUACACAGGCAUUACCAAGAACUACAGUGAGGUACUCUAACCUCUCACCUGUGUGAACCAACAGUCAACACACACACACACAUAUCCAUCCACUAACACCACAUCAUUGACCUCUUGGACUAGAUCACAGUGGAUCACAUUUACAUGAUAAUGGAGGAGAUGAAGCACCAGAUUCCAGUUGUGGAGGAGGAGUGAAACCAGGAAGUGAGAUGGUUUUUAUAUCAAUGACCAACAGAUCGUUCUCCAUGAUAAUGGCUGUGCCUUUAGAGAGGGAAAUUAAAAGAAAUUCUUCCAGUCAGAGAGGUUUUAACGUCCGAACGGGAUCGGCGAUCCCGUCAGAGAGGUUAACGCCCGACCGGGAUCGGCGAUCCCGUCAGAGAGGUUAACGUCCGACCGGGAUCGGGGAUCCAGUCAGAGAGGUUAACGUCCCACCAGAUCAGAGCUCUGGACAGCUGUAAGGACACACACUUCCUUCAUGAAAACAACAUUUAACAGGUUAUUUCCUGUCUGGGAGAUCAAAAUCUCCAUCAAUGAGCUCACAGCUAGAGGAAGACAUAAUUUCCUCUAGGUUAACAUUGUAAAUUUCCUGUGAUUCAAUAUGAGAUGAGGGACUAAAACCCAUUCCAGAAUCCGCUUCCAGUUUUUACACAACGCUCAGAGACCAGCGGGUCUCUACUUCCAGAAAGGCCCGGAUUCAAUACCAUCACUGCUUUUUUUAGACAAUGCGCCAUUUAAAAAAUACAAAUAAAAUGGCGCAUUGUCCAAAAAUCUCCAACCAAUGAGCUCACAGCUAGAUGAUGACAUCAUUUCCUUUAGGUUACACAUUGGAACAUUUUACAUUUCCUGUGAUUCAAUAUUAUGAGAUGAGGGAGUAAAACCCCAUUCCAGAAUCCACUUCCAGUUUUUCCACGGCGCUCAGAGUCCAGCGGGUCUCUACUUCCAGACAGAACCGAUUCUGUAUCAUCACUGCUUUUAUUUCUUCUUCUAAAAGGGUCAUUUCAAAAUAAGCCGACAUAUGCAGCGUUUACCGUAAACAUUGCAUUGUGGGAUUGAAUCCUGGCCAACAAAAUCAGGUCAUGGAUGAUAAAUACAGACAGGUGGAGGGAGACACCUGGAUACAAAGACCAAAAUAAACACACAGAGACGGAUAGAGAGAGAGAGAGAGAGAGACGGAUAGAGAGAGAGAGACGGAUAGAGACAGAUAGAGAGAGAGAGACGGAUAGAGAGAGAGAGAGAGACGGAUAGAGAGAGAGAGAGAGAGACGGAUAGAGAGAGAGAGAGAGAGAUGAGAGAGAGACGGAUAGAGAGACGAUGAGAGAGAGACGGAUAGAGAGACGAUAGAGAGAGACGGAUAGAGAGACGAGAGAGAGAGACGGAUAGAGAGAAAGAGAGAGAGACGGAUAGAGAGAGAGAGAGAGAGACGGAUAG
This 1621-nucleotide long non-coding RNA is filed under the name Salmo salar (Atlantic salmon). RNAcentral describes it as "lncRNA (ENSSSAG00000094404.1)". Lineage: Eukaryota; Metazoa; Chordata; Actinopteri; Salmoniformes; Salmonidae. The record is from RNAcentral.